Molecule: ribosomal RNA, 440 nt
Filed under: uncultured bacterium
Lineage: Bacteria
Description: bacterial SSU rRNA
Rfam family: Bacterial small subunit ribosomal RNA
Source: RNAcentral
CCUACGGGAGGCAGCAGUGGGGAAUAUUGCACAAUGGGGGAAACCCUGAUGCAGCAAUGCCGCGUGAGUGAAGAAGGCCUUCGGGUCGUAAAGCUCUGUCCUACGGGAAGAAGCAUGACGGAAUAAUAGCAGGAAGCCCUGGCGAACUACGUGCAAGCAGCAGCGGCAAAACGUAGGGGGCGAGCGUCGUCCGGAAUCAGCGUGCGUAACGGGUGCGCAGUCGGCCGAUGAAGCCGGGGGGGAAAUGCUACGGUUCAACCGGAGGAAGCCCUUGGAACUGAAGGGCUUGAGUGCAGGAGAGGGGAGUGGAAUUCCUAGUGUAGCGGUGAAAUGCGUAGAUAUUAGGAGGAACACCAGUGGCGAAGGCGACUCUCUGGGGUGUAACUGACGCUGAUGCACGAAAGCGUGGGGAGCAAACAGGAUUAGAUACCCCAGUAGUC